GAUUAAGAGUGUUAAUUUUAAUAAAUAAAUAAAUUUUCGUUUUGUGUUAUGUUGAAAACUUUUUUUAAUGUUAAUUAUAUAAAAAAAAUCAUUAGUGUUCAGUACAUGUUUCAAAACUAAUAAAAUGUUUAUUAUUAGAUACAUUAAUAUUUUUAAAUUUAAGAAAAAGUUUAUUUUAUUGUGUUUAAUCCCAUUUCCCUCUUUAUUCAAACCUUUCAAUAUGUUUUAAUCAUAAGUACGAGAGUGAUUUCAAAAAUACGAAUUUCUUCCAGAAUUUCUUACGAGAUUAUUGAACGCUAGAUAUGACAACCCUGCUGAUAACACUGUCUCAGUCAUGGCUCCAGAUUUAACGGUUUGAUUGUACUUACAAUUUUAAAUUAUUUUAAAAGUAGGCGUUAGAAUUCAAUAAUGCAAUUUAAAAAAAUGGACUAAAUAAAUUUUUUUAUGAUUUGUUUAUAAAGUAAACAAUUCAAAAUUUAAUAAAAAACGAACUUAAAACGUGAAGGGUGUACUUAAAGUGAUACAGCCACAUAAGUUAGCACGUGGAUAUAGUGAUCCGAAAUUGAAAAAUCAUCAAUGCGUACUUAAACUACAGAUUAUACACAUUGUAUGGUAUUUAACAAUAAAUAAAUUAAAUUAUUUAUUUGGAAAAUUUAUAAGAAACGUAACUCUGUUAGAUAGCCUUACAAUCUGUUUGAGACGUACGUUUUCAGUCACGCAGGAUAGUUACCUCUAGGGAUUAUUCCAUUUCAAUUGUAUUUAGGGAUAAUGAAUUGUAAGAAACAAUAACAGUAGCGAAUUCAAACAUUUAACGACUUGUGAAAUAUCUCUUUAAAAGGAUCUGGCCACUCCAGCUGUUAAAAGAAAUGCAGCAAAGAAAAAAUGUGUAAAAUGUGUGUGUGUGUUUUAUGUGUAAAAUAGGAAAAACAAUACUUUACAUAAAAAAGAUGAAUCUAAUAAAUCGUUUAAAACAUGCAUAUAAGUGACUUCCGAAAGAGGACUCUCGUUAUCUUUUUCUUUGUUUUAUUUUCUUGUUGCUCAAUUUUUUCGUUGAAUUGUUGGUUAUUACUAGGCAUUCUAUAUAAAAAUUAUUUUAAAAAAUAUCAUAAGAACAGACUUAGAUAUAUUUUAUCAUCAAAGUAUUUUAUAUGGCAUGAAAAGCUUGUGGCGAAAUAUGUAG
Molecule: long non-coding RNA, 1180 nt
Filed under: Androctonus crassicauda
Lineage: Eukaryota; Metazoa; Arthropoda; Arachnida; Scorpiones; Buthidae
Source: RNAcentral